This 478-nucleotide ribosomal RNA is filed under the name uncultured bacterium. RNAcentral's name for it is "partial 16S ribosomal RNA". It matches the Rfam family "Bacterial small subunit ribosomal RNA", at positions 28 to 523 of the family's 1533-position model. The record is from RNAcentral.
GACGAACGCUGGCGGCGUGCUUAACACAUGCAAGUCGAACGGUAAGGCCCUUCGGGGUACACGAGUGGCGAACGGGUGAGUAACACGUGGGUGAUCUGCCCUGCACUUCGGGAUAAGCCUGGGAAACUGGGUCUAAUACCGGAUAGGACCACUGCCUGCAUGGGUGGUGGUGGAAAGCUUUUGCGGUGUGGGAUGGGCCCGCGGCCUAUCAGCUUGUUGGUGGGGUGAUGGCCUACCAAGGCGACGACGGGUAGCCGGCCUGAGAGGGUGACCGGCCACACUGGGACUGAGAUACGGCCCAGACUCCUGCGGGAGGCAGCAGUGGGGAAUAUUGCACAAUGGGCGCAAGCCUGAUGCAGCGACGCCGCGUGAGGGAUGGCGGCCUUCGGGUUGUAAACCUCUUUCAGCACCGACGAAGCGCAAGUGACGGUAGGUGCAGAAGAAGGACCGGCCAACUACGUGCCAGCCGCCGCAGUAA